GAUGAACGCUGGCGGCGUGCCUAAUACAUGCAAGUCGAGCGAACAGACGAGGAGCUUGCUCCUCUGACGUUAGCGGCGGACGGGUGAGUAACACGUGGAUAACCUACCUAUAAGACUGGGAUAACUUCGGGAAACCGGAGCUAAUACCGGAUAAUAUAUUGAACCGCAUGGUUCAAUAGUGAAAGACGGUUUUGCUGUCACUUAUAGAUGGAUACGCGCCGCAUUAGCUAGUUGGUAAGGUAACGGCUUAGCAAGGCAACGAUGCGUAGCCGACCUGAGAGGGUGAUCGGCCACACGGGAACUGAGACACGGUCCAGACUCCUACGGGAGGCAGCAGUAGGGAAUCUUCCGCAAUGGGCGAAAGCCUGACGGAGCAACGCCGCGUGAGUGAUGAAGGUCUUUGGAUCGUAAAACUCUGUUAUUAGGGAAGAACAAAUGUGUAAGUAACUAUGCACGUCUUGACGGUACCUAAUCAGAAAGCCACGGCUAACUACGUG
Molecule: ribosomal RNA, 497 nt
Filed under: uncultured bacterium
Lineage: Bacteria
Description: partial 16S ribosomal RNA
Rfam family: Bacterial small subunit ribosomal RNA
Source: RNAcentral